This is a long non-coding RNA of Labrus mixtus (cuckoo wrasse), 524 nucleotides long. RefSeq lists it as uncharacterized. The record is from RefSeq and is a predicted model, not a curated record. Lineage: Eukaryota; Metazoa; Chordata; Actinopteri; Labriformes; Labridae. The transcript is spliced from 3 exons.
UGCGCAUCACGCUCAGGUGUGCUCCUCAGGUGUCUGCUAAUGUUAGUGCUAACUGAACCAUAGCAACAUCGUCUGUCUUUAUAUUUAGUCUCAUUAGUCACAUUACAUAGUGCUCGUUAAAAUCGGAUAUGUCGUUUUAGUUGAAAGUUGUUGGUUGAACUCAAAAUUCUGUAUUUUCUUCUUGUUUCUUUGUACAGGUGUGUGCAGGUGUUUCCUCGCUCUGUGCUGCAGCUCAGAGGAACUCUGUCGACGUCUUCCAGGAGGAUCCCCCGUCGGUGGCCGUCUUCCUGCUCAGGUAGGAGACUCAAAGCUUUCUUAAUGUUGUUUUAUUAUGUUCCAGGUUUUAGGUCUUAUAGAUGUUUAGACUCAGUUAUUUUAAUCAUUUGAUCCUUUUUGGAGUGGAGGAACAUCAGGUGUUUAAUGAAAUACUACAGUUUUAUAAUCCUUAGGUAUCGUUAGUCAACAGCUUAGCUACAUAGAGUUAUCAGUAUGUUGAUGUUAAAGCUGAUUUAAGGGAGUAAGUG